This 492-nucleotide ribosomal RNA is filed under the name uncultured bacterium. Its description in RNAcentral is "partial 16S ribosomal RNA". It matches the Rfam family "Bacterial small subunit ribosomal RNA", at positions 29 to 507 of the family's 1533-position model. The record is from RNAcentral.
AGUGAACGCUGGCGGUAGGCCUAACACAUGCAAGUCGAACGGCAGCACAGUAAGAGCUUGCUCUUACGGGUGGCGAGUGGCGGACGGGUGAGGAAUACAUCGGAAUCUACUUUUUCGUGGGGGAUAACGUAGGGAAACUUACGCUAAUACCGCAUACGACCUACGGGUGAAAGCGGGGGAUCUUCGGACCUUGCGCGAUUGAAUGAGCCGAUGUCGGAUUGGCUGGUGGGCGGGGUAAAGGCCCACCAAGGCGAGUAUCCGUAGCUGGUCUGAGUGGAUGGUCACCCACACUGGAACUUAGCCACGGUCCAUACUCCUACGGUAGGGAGCAGUGUGGAAUAUUGGACAAUGGGCGCAAGCCUGGUCCAGUCAUACCGCGUGUGUGGAGAAAGCCUUGGGGUUGUAAAGCCGUUUUGUUGGGAAAGAACAGCAUCAGGUUAAUACCCCGCUGUUCUGACGGUACCCAAAGAAUAAGCACCGGCUAACUUCGUG